Molecule: ribosomal RNA, 268 nt
Filed under: uncultured bacterium
Lineage: Bacteria
Description: partial 16S ribosomal RNA
Rfam family: Bacterial small subunit ribosomal RNA
Source: RNAcentral
GCAAGUCGAACGUGAUUAGUUAAAUAAAAGCUUCGGCCGCUAUUUAACUCUGAAAGUGGCAAACGGGUGCGUAACACGUGAACAAUCUGCCCUGAAGAUCGGAAUAGCUCGAGGAAACGCAAAUUAAUGCCGGAUGUGGCACAGAGACGCCUGUCUCCAGUGCUAAAGCUUGUAAGGGCGCUUCAGGAGGAGUUCGCGGCCUAUCAGCUUGUUGGUGAGGUAAAAGCUCACCAAGGCUAAGACGGGUAGCUGGUCUGAGAGGAUGAUC